Molecule: long non-coding RNA, 302 nt
Filed under: Anas platyrhynchos platyrhynchos (common mallard)
Lineage: Eukaryota; Metazoa; Chordata; Aves; Anseriformes; Anatidae
Description: lncRNA (ENSAPLG00000028043.1)
Source: RNAcentral
UGGGAAAGCAGGUCUGAUUACCUUGGAAGUAUGAGGGAAACAUGAUUUAUUUCAAAUUCUGUUUGGUGUCUCCCCCAUCUUUAAAAGAAGUCCAUGGUGUCAGCUACAUUACAGACUUGUGUUUUUUUGUUUGUUUGUUUUUGUUCAGACCCCAGAUUUCACAUUCAUUUUCUGGAUAUGUAAUUUCUAGCACCUGUGUGAGGGAGGGAAGUAUCCCUGCUUCUGCCGAGAAGGGGAGGGGAAGUAAGUCCACAAAAAGCUACAUCUCUGAUUACGUUAGAGCUAUUAGUAGAACCCAGUAA